CCUACGGGAGGCAGCAGUGAGGAAUAUUGGUCAAUGGGCGUAAGCCUGAACCAGCCAAGUCGCGUGAGGGAUGAAGGUUCUAUGGAUCGUAAACCUCUUUUAUAAGGGAAUAAAGUGUGGGACGUGUCCUGUUUUGUAUGUACCUUAUGAAUAAGGAUCGGCUAACUCCGUGCCAGCAGCCGCGGUAAUACGGGGGAUCCGAGCGUUAUCCGGAUUUAUUGGGUUUAAAGGGUGCGUAGGUGGCCUUUUAAGUCAGCGGUGAAAGUCUGUGGCUCAACCAUAGUAUUGCCGUUGAAACUGGGAGGCUUGAGUAUGUUUGAGGCAGGCGGAAUGCGUGGUGUAGCGGUGAAAUGCUUAGAUAUCACGCAGAACCCCGAUUGCGAAGGCAGCCUGCCAAGCCAUGACUGACGCUGAUGCACGAAAGCGUGGGGAUCAAACAGGAUUAGAUACCCGAGUAGUC
RNAcentral lists this ribosomal RNA (460 nucleotides) under uncultured bacterium. Its description in RNAcentral is "partial 16S ribosomal RNA". It matches the Rfam family "Bacterial small subunit ribosomal RNA", at positions 338 to 795 of the family's 1533-position model. The record is from RNAcentral.